AUCAUCAUCAUUUUCUUGCAUAAACCAUGCCUAUGUAUAUAACACCAAUUAUUGAAAUUCUACUAAUAUUUCAAACAAAAAUAAAUGGGUUUUUUAUUAAAACUAAAUAAUUAAACUAACCGUACCUCAAUCGCCAUGGGAGUCGAAAAUUUUGAGAUACAACUCGCUCACUCGAUUGCUUAGGUCAAUGGUUGGUAAGGGCUAAAAAAAUUCAUAAUUGUUUGGAUUUAUUUGAGGCCAUUUGCUUGGUAUUUUGCCAUAUGGGAGAUUAUUGUCCAUCCGAUUUUGGUGGUAUCGAUUUAUUUAACCUUAUGUGAUGCUUAUAAAAAAAAUCUACAGAUUAUUUUGAGAAUGAAAAUUCUAGAGCAAG
This 370-nucleotide long non-coding RNA is filed under the name Salvia miltiorrhiza (redroot sage). Its description in RNAcentral is "long non-coding RNA (SMIL_LNC004947)". Lineage: Eukaryota; Viridiplantae; Streptophyta; Magnoliopsida; Lamiales; Lamiaceae. The record is from RNAcentral.